This 74-nucleotide transfer RNA is filed under the name Streptococcus mutans S1B. RNAcentral's name for it is "tRNA-Arg". It matches the Rfam family "tRNA". Rfam says of the family: Transfer RNA (tRNA) molecules are approximately 80 nucleotides in length. The record is from RNAcentral. Lineage: Bacteria; Bacillati; Bacillota; Bacilli; Lactobacillales; Streptococcaceae.
GCACCCUUGGCUCAACUGGAUAGAGUACCUGACUACGAAUCAGGCAGUUGCAGGUUCGAAUCCUGCAGGGUGCA